AGCGGCGGCUGGAGCGCGAGGUGCGCUCCCGGACGCUGUACAUCCGCGGCGACACGCCCGGCGACGGCGCCCGGUUCGACCCCGGCAGGCUGCUG
RNAcentral lists this transfer RNA (95 nucleotides) under Streptomyces fumigatiscleroticus. Its description in RNAcentral is "tRNA-Thr". The record is from RNAcentral. Lineage: Bacteria; Bacillati; Actinomycetota; Actinomycetes; Kitasatosporales; Streptomycetaceae.